Molecule: ribosomal RNA, 497 nt
Filed under: uncultured bacterium
Lineage: Bacteria
Description: partial 16S ribosomal RNA
Rfam family: Bacterial small subunit ribosomal RNA
Source: RNAcentral
GAUGAACGCUGGCGGCGUGCCUAACACAUGCAAGUCGAGCGAACAGACGAGGAGCUUGCUCCUCUGACGUUAGCGGCGGACGGGUGAGUAACACGUGGAUAACCUACCUAUAAGACUGGGAUAACUUCGGGAAACCGGAGCUAAUACCGGAUAAUAUAUUGAACCGCAUGGUUCAAUAGUGAAAGACGGUUUUGCUGUCACUUAUAGAUGGAUCCGCGCCGCAUUAGUUAGUUGGUAAGGUAACGGCUUACCAAGGCUACGAUGCGUAGCCGACCUGAGAGGGUGAUCGGCCACACUGGAACUGAGACACGGUCCAGACUCCUACGGGAGGCAGCAGUCGGGAAUCUUGCGCAAUGGGCGAAAGCCUGACGGAGCAACGCCGCGUGAGUGAUGAAGGUCUUCGGAUCGUAAAGCUCUGUUGUUAGGAAAGAACAAAAGUGUAAGUAACUCUGCACGUCUUGACGGUACCUAAUCAAAAAGCCACGGCUAACUACGUG